Molecule: ribosomal RNA, 253 nt
Filed under: uncultured prokaryote
Description: partial 16S ribosomal RNA
Rfam family: Bacterial small subunit ribosomal RNA
Source: RNAcentral
ACGGAGGGUGCAAGCGUUGUUCGGAAUCACUGGGCGUAAAGCGCGUGUAGGCGGCCUCCUAAGUCUGGUGUGAAAGCCCGGGGCUUACCCCCGGAAGUGCACUGGAUACUGGGAGACUAGAGUACCGGAGAGGAGGGUGGAAUUCCUGGUGUAGCGGUGAAAUGCGUAGAUAUCAGGAAGAACACCGGUGGCGAAGGCGGCCCUCUGGGACAACACUGACGCUGAAGCACGAAAGCGUGGGGAGCAAACAGGA